GGCGAACACAAAUCGGCGUGUUAUUGGGAACGGGUGUCUUGUUGAGCGUGGCGAUCACUGAUUGGGCAAUUUGGUGAAGAGGAGACACAUAAAUAGGGCAUCAGAAACACAGGAAGUGCCUGAUGAUUCCCAGUAGUUACUGUGGGUGCAACGGAGCGGAGGAGAGAGUUGGAGAGAGAGUGUAUGGUGUACUGCGGAGCUUGGGCAAAGAGAGAUACACAUACAGGGCUGAGUAUACGAAUAUCUUUAUUGGAGCAUUGUGUUCAGAUGCAUUGUGUGAUGUGAAGUUAACACACAUUGAAGAUCUGCUAGGAUUGCAGGAAGGAGAUCGUGCUGCCAGUUUUGUCGGUUAUCUGGAAGAGAAGUGGAGAGAUCCAGUGUUAAUGAAAGUGUGAGUACACUGAAAUAUUCAUCGAGUCAACAGUUAUUUUGCAAGUGUGGAAUAUCCAUAUAUCCCUUGUGAGUUGUGACCAGUGUGAGCGGCCCCACCGUAAUAGGAUUGGUGGGUGAGCCGGAACCAGCGAAAAAGGAGUCUGGUGCCUUGUCGUGGCUGUGACGUUCCCUCUGGCCGUCUGCUGCAUCGGUGCCCCCAACGUCCAGGAACUAAUCCCCGGUCCUAUGUGGUUUUGACCCUAAUUCACUGUGAGUGUGUGGAGUGCAGUGGGCGAGUCCUUUUCUUUGCUGUGUGUAUACUUGAAGUCUGCAGUGUCGUGCUGUGUCAUGUUGUCAGUAAUCACCCUCUAGGCUGGGAGAGAAAACCCUGUGGAGAAGAACGUGCACCGGUGUUGUGAGACGACCGUCUUUUAUAUACAUGCCCGCUCGCGGCUUUGGACCCCUACUCCGUCGAGUGGCGACGUGUCAACAAUAGCAAGUAAGGAACAGUUUGCAUAUUGUGGUGGACGACGACUGAGAGAAGUGUUGGCUGAACAUCCAGCUGUGUAGCCCUUGUGUAUGAAUACCUGUUUGUGGAGUACUUUCAGAGGUUCGCCCCUGUCUAGAUCUCUGGUCCGUUGUUUGGAAGAGAGGAGAGGGAAGCGUUCGAGUCAUUCCUGAGUCCUACAGGUCUGCGCUUGAGGCUCUGAGUCGUCGUGGGAGUGUUUCCACGGUUGGAGGUGACCGUGUUGAGUGUCGGUCUGGGAAGUCUGCCCCGGUGAAGAAGACCACAGUUGUCGUGACAUAUACACCUUCUCUAGACUCCCGAGCUGAAAAGGGCUAAAGCCUGACGUCCACCUCUUCGAGGGCGUUUCCAACCGUGGACCCAGAAUCUCGUGGCGAACGGCGUCAGGUACGCACCUCACCCAAUUCAUCAGAAUUACUUACCUUCUUUACUCUGCGUGCAGGGACUGGAAGGGCCCCACUGACGGUUCUCCUGCAGGAGAAACACAAAGGCACUACUGAGGAAAAACCCUGUUGAGUCACGUGAAGGAAAGGACACAAAUUACCUACAGGUUUAUCUGAGAGUCCCCGUGACAGAGUCAGAAGCGACUCGGACCUAUACUCUCUGGCCCCGAGAGUGGAUUUUAGAUUCCCUUUUCCCUUCCCUGCACACCUUUUAAAUAAUUUAAAUAAAGUCUGUUUUAAUUACACUCCCUCUCUCUCGCGUGUCUGGUCAUUGGGGUGUUCUUGGGACCUCCUCGAGGUGGAAACUAGGGAGGGGCGAGACUCACAACAUCUGUGGUCCGCUCCGAUCUGUGAC
This is a long non-coding RNA of Cyprinus carpio carpio, 1696 nucleotides long. Lineage: Eukaryota; Metazoa; Chordata; Actinopteri; Cypriniformes; Cyprinidae. The record is from Ensembl.